CCUACGGGUGGCAGCAGUGAGGAAUAUUGGUCAAUGGACGAGAGUCUGAACCAGCCAAGUAGCGUGAAGGAUGACUGCCCUAUGGGUUGUAAACUUCUUUUAUAAAGGAAUAAAACGAGGCACGUGUGCCUUUUUGCAUGUACUUUAUGAAUAAGGAUCGGCUAACUCCGUGCCAGCAGCCGCGGUAAUACGGAGGAUCCGAGCGUUAUCCGGAUUUAUUGGGUUUAAAGGGAGCGUAGAUGGGUUGUUAAGUCAGUUGUGAAAGUUUGCGGCUCAACCGUAAAAUUGCAAUUGAUACUGGCAGUCGUGAGUACAGUUGAGGCAGGCGGAAUUCGUGGUGUAGCGGUGAAAUGCUUAGAUAUCACGAAGAACCCCGAUUGCGAAGGCAGCUUACUAAACUGUGACUGACAUUGAUGCUCGAAAGUGUGGGUAUCAAACAGGAUUAGAUACCCCAGUAGUC
This 460-nucleotide ribosomal RNA is filed under the name uncultured bacterium. RNAcentral's name for it is "partial 16S ribosomal RNA". It matches the Rfam family "Bacterial small subunit ribosomal RNA", at positions 338 to 795 of the family's 1533-position model. The record is from RNAcentral.